This 324-nucleotide ribosomal RNA is filed under the name uncultured Bodomorpha. RNAcentral's name for it is "SSU rRNA". The stretch from base 108 to 324 matches the Rfam family "Eukaryotic small subunit ribosomal RNA", at positions 738 to 955 of the family's 1831-position model. Lineage: Eukaryota; Cercozoa; Glissomonadida. The record is from RNAcentral.
GAUUUCUGGUGUGAUGCGCCUGGCCCGCUGCGGUUUCGCAUGUGAGUGCUGGUUGUGCGUCUACCAUCCUUCUGCAUCUCCUCUCGGCUCUUCACUGAGAUCGAGGGGGGGAGCAGAUCGUUUACUUUGAAAAAAUUAGAGUGUUUCAAGCAGGCAUGCCGCUAUGAAUACAUUAGCAUGGAAUAAUAAUUUAGGACUUCGGUUCUAUUUUGUUGGUUUCUAGGACGGAAGUAAUGAUUGAUAGGGAUAGUUGGGGGUGCUAGUAUUCAGUGGCCAGAGGUGAAAUUCUCGGAUUCCCUGAAGACUAACUUAUGCGAAAGCAUU